This 361-nucleotide unclassified non-coding RNA is filed under the name Hevea brasiliensis (rubber tree). The record is from RNAcentral. Lineage: Eukaryota; Viridiplantae; Streptophyta; Magnoliopsida; Malpighiales; Euphorbiaceae.
GUCACUAUGAAGGAUGUGGAAAGGUUUCAAAAAUAAAAUUUUUAUGCCUUUUUAUUUUGUUUGUCCAAGGAUAUUAUGCUUGCUUAAUAAAACCAUGAAAAUUGAAAUGCAAUUCAUAGUUUCAAAGUUCUAUUUUACUAUUUUCAUUUUUCUGUAUUAUGGUGUACAGGAGUUAAAAGGUUUGUAUCUUUAUUUUGCAGAAAUUUUUAGAUAGUUCAAAGUUGAAAAGACACUUCUUAAUUCAUACAGGUGAAAGAGAUUUUGUUUGUCCUCAUGAAGGCUGUGGUAAGGUGAUAAAUUAAUUUACCCUUCUAUUUUUCUCUUAUUUUCUUUGUGGCUUUUUUCUUUUCUUUUCUUUUUU